Molecule: transfer RNA, 75 nt
Filed under: Rickettsiales bacterium
Lineage: Bacteria; Pseudomonadati; Pseudomonadota; Alphaproteobacteria; Rickettsiales
Description: tRNA-Met
Rfam family: tRNA
About the family: Transfer RNA (tRNA) molecules are approximately 80 nucleotides in length.
Source: RNAcentral
GGCGGCGUAGCUCAGUGGUAGAGCACAGGAAUCAUAAUCCUUUGGUCGGGGGUUCAAAUCCCUCCGCCGCUACCA